RNAcentral lists this ribosomal RNA (586 nucleotides) under uncultured bacterium. Its description in RNAcentral is "bacterial SSU rRNA". It matches the Rfam family "Bacterial small subunit ribosomal RNA", at positions 339 to 916 of the family's 1533-position model. The record is from RNAcentral.
CUACGGGAGGCAGCAGUGAGGAAUUUUGCGCAAUAGGGGAAACCCUGACGCAGCAACGCCGCGUGAGUGAAGAAGGCCCUCGGGUCGUAAAGCUCUGUCAAGUGGGAAAAAAGCUUACUGGUAAAUAGCCAGCAAGACUGAUGGUACCAUUGAAGGAAGCACCGGCUAACUCCGUGCCAGCAGCCGCGGUAAUACGGAGGGUGCAAGCGUUGUUCGGAAUUACUGGGCGUAAAGGGCGUGUAGGCGGUGUGGUAAGUCAGAUGUGAAAGCCCUGGGCUUAACCCAGGAAGUGCAUUUGAAACUGCCAUGCUUGAGUAUGGGAGAGGAGAGUGGAAUUCCCAGUGUAGAGGUGAAAUUCGUAGAUAUUGGGAGGAACACCCGUGGCGAAGGCGACUCUCUGGACCAAUACUGACGCUGAGGCGCGAAAGCGUGGGGAGCAAACAGGAUUAGAUACCCUGGUAGUCCACGCUGUAAACGAUGAGCACUAGGUGUAGCGGGUAUUGACCCCUGCUGUGCCGUAGCUAACGCAUUAAGUGCUCCGCCUGGGGAGUACGGCCGCAAGGCUAAAACUCAAAGGAAUUGACGG